This 73-nucleotide transfer RNA is filed under the name Fibrobacterota bacterium. RNAcentral describes it as "Fibrobacteres bacterium tRNA-Thr". It matches the Rfam family "tRNA". Rfam says of the family: Transfer RNA (tRNA) molecules are approximately 80 nucleotides in length. The record is from RNAcentral. Lineage: Bacteria; Pseudomonadati; Fibrobacterota. RNAcentral also lists the same sequence under 1 other name.
GCCAGCGUAGCUCAGUUGGUAGAGCUACUGAUUUGUAAUCAGUCGGUCGCAGGUUCAAGUCCUGUCGCUGGCU